RNAcentral lists this ribosomal RNA (221 nucleotides) under uncultured bacterium. RNAcentral's name for it is "partial 16S ribosomal RNA". It matches the Rfam family "Bacterial small subunit ribosomal RNA", at positions 524 to 743 of the family's 1533-position model. The record is from RNAcentral.
UACGUAGGGUCCGAGCGUUGUCCGGAAUUACUGGGCGUAAAGAGCUCGUAGGUGGUUUGUCACGUUGUUCGUGAAAACCCACAACUCAAUUGUGGGCGUGCGGGCGAUACGGGCAGACUAGAGUACUGCAGGGGAGACUGGAAUUCCUGGUGUAGCGGUGGAAUGCGCAGAUAUCAGGAGGAACACCGAUGGCGAAGGCAGGUCUCUGGGCCAUUAACUGA